AGAACGAACGCUGGCGGCAUGCCUAAUACAUGCAAGUCGAACGAACACUUCGGUGUUAGUGGCGCACGGGUGCGUAACGCGUGGGAAUCUGCCCUUGGGUUCGGAAUAACAGUUGGAAACGACUGCUAAUACCGGAUGAUGACGAAAGUCCAAAGAUUUAUCGCCCAGGGAUGAGCCCGCGUAGGAUUAGCUAGUUGGUGAGGUAAAGGCUCACCAAGGCGACGAUCCUUAGCUGGUCUGAGAGGAUGAUCAGCCACACUGGGACUGAGACACGGCCCAGACUCCUACGGGAGGCAGCAGUAGGGAAUAUUGGACAAUGGGCGCAAGCCUGAUCCAGCAAUGCCGCGUGAGUGAUGAAGGCCUUAGGGGUUGUAAAGUCUCUUUUACCCGAGUAGUGAGUAAUUGACAGUAAUCGGAGAAUAAGUCCCGGCUAACUCCGUGACCAGACAGACCGUC
Molecule: ribosomal RNA, 456 nt
Filed under: uncultured soil bacterium
Lineage: Bacteria
Description: bacterial SSU rRNA
Rfam family: Bacterial small subunit ribosomal RNA
Source: RNAcentral